CCUACAUCCAGACUCCCACGCUCCGAUGGAAACUUUAACCAAAGCAUAGGAGGGGCUCUUGCUUUUCUUCUGGAGUUUACAUGUUCUCUGGAUGAUGUGGCAAAAACAAAUGAAAAAAGUCCCUCCCGACCCAGACUCCUUAACACACUGCCGGAGUGUCACUGUCAUCAUACAAAUCACCGCCAAGCUCAUCAAACGCGAUUAUCACAAACAGAAAGCUACCCACCAGCACAGUGGAUCCAGAAAGGUGCUGUGGGUUCAUGGCCCACGUCACAUGUCUGAGUUAUAAGACACAGGCCUUGAGCUUCCAAUGAGGACUGCUGUGAGAAGAGCUUAAGAACCCGGUUUUUCAUUUGUUGUGGGGAUGCUGAAUACCCUGUUCAUGAUACCUCUCAGUGCUUCCUCGAUAAAAGUCCACAUGCAAAAUGUAGUUGAAAAGAACUAAAAAAAUCUUUGCUCCUCUUGGGGACCUGGUACGCCUUCCUUCUCUGACAGCAAGAAUUACCGCAGUGACCACAUUUGCCUUUUCUCUUUGAUGUUAUGAAGCUCAGCUAAAUAGCAAUGUAAGGGACUUACUGUCUG
Non-coding RNA from Macaca mulatta (Rhesus monkey), 582 nucleotides. The record is from RefSeq and is a predicted model, not a curated record. NCBI's taxonomy places the organism in Eukaryota, Metazoa, Chordata, Mammalia, Primates, Cercopithecidae.